CGCGUGAGGAACCUGCCUCAAAGAGGGGGACAACAGUUGGAAACGACUGCUAAUACCGCAUAAGCCCACGGGUCGGCAUCGAUCUGAGGGAAAAGGAGCAAUCCGCUUUGAGAUGGCCUCGCGUCCGAUUAGCUAGUUGGUGAGGUAACGGCCCACCAAGGCGACGAUCGGUAGCCGGACUGAGAGGUUGAACGGCCACAUUGGGACUGAGACACGGCCCAGACUCCUACGGGAGGCAGCAGUGGGGAAUAUUGCACAAUGGGGGAAACCCUGAUGCAGCGACGCCGCGUGGAGGAAGAAGGUCUUCGGAUUGUAAACUCCUGUUGUUGAGGAAGAUAAUGACGGUACUCAACAAGGAAGUGACGGCUAACUACGUGCCAGCAGCCGCGGUAAAACGUAGGUCACAAGCGUUGUCCGGAAUUACUGGGUGUAAAGGGAGCGCAGGCGGGAAGACAAGUUGGAAGUGAAAUCUAUGGGCUCAACCC
Molecule: ribosomal RNA, 485 nt
Filed under: uncultured bacterium
Lineage: Bacteria
Description: bacterial SSU rRNA
Rfam family: Bacterial small subunit ribosomal RNA
Source: RNAcentral